AUUGAACGCUGGCGGCAUGCCUUACACAUGCAAGUCGAACGGCAGCACGGGUGCUUGCACCUGGUGGCGAGUGGCGAACGGGUGAGUAAUACAUCGGAACAUGUCCUGUAGUGGGGGAUAGCCCGGCGAAAGCCGGAUUAAUACCGCAUACGAUCUACGGAUGAAAGCGGGGGACCUUCGGGCCUCGCGCUAUAGGGUUGGCCGAUGGCUGCUUAGCUAGUUGGUGGGGUAAAGGCCUACCAAGGCGACGAUCAGUAGCUGGUCUGAGAGGACGACCAGCCACACUGGGACUGAGACACGGCCCAGACGCCUACGGGAGGCAGCAGUGGGGAAUUUUGGACAAUGGGCGAAAGCCUGAUCCAGCAAUGCCGCGUGUGUGAAGAAGGCCUUCGGGUUGUAAAGCACUUUUGUCCGGAAAGAAAUCCUUGGCCCUAAUACGGUCGGGGGAUGACGGUACCGGAAGAAUAAGCACCGGCUAACUACGC
RNAcentral lists this ribosomal RNA (485 nucleotides) under uncultured bacterium. RNAcentral's name for it is "partial 16S ribosomal RNA". It matches the Rfam family "Bacterial small subunit ribosomal RNA", at positions 30 to 506 of the family's 1533-position model. The record is from RNAcentral.